AACUAACGCUGGCGGCGUGCCUAACACAUGCAAGUCGUACGAGAAAGUUGGCUUCGGCUGAUGAGUAAAGUGGCGCACGGGUGAGUAACGCGUGGAUAAUCUGCCUUUUAGUUGGGAAUAACGUACCGAAAGGUGCGCUAAUACCGGAUAAUACUGCAUAACUACUGUUGUGUAGUCAAAGAAGGCCUCUGUUUACAAGCUUUUGCUGAAAGAUGAGUCCGCGUACCAUUAGCUAGUUGGUAGGGUAAUGGCCUACCAAGGCUACGAUGGUUAGCUGGUCUGAGAGGAUGAUCAGCCACACUGGAACUGAGACACGGUCCAGACUCCUACGGGAGGCAGCAGUGAGGAAUAUUGCGCAAUGGGGCAACCCUGACGCAGCAACGCCGCGUGAGUGAGGAAGGUUUUCGGACCGUAAAGCUCUGUCGAGCGGGAAGAAAUGUAUCGUGGCUAAUAUCCAUGAUAUUUGACGGUACCGCUAAAGGAAGCACCGG
This 491-nucleotide ribosomal RNA is filed under the name uncultured bacterium. Its description in RNAcentral is "bacterial SSU rRNA". It matches the Rfam family "Bacterial small subunit ribosomal RNA", at positions 29 to 496 of the family's 1533-position model. The record is from RNAcentral.